UACAGAGGUCUCAAGCGUUGUUCGGAUUCAUUGGGCGUAAAGGGUGCGUAGGCGGCGAGGCAAGUCUGGUGUGAAAUCCCGGGGCUCAACCCCGGAACUGCACUGGAUACUGCUUUGCUAGAGUACUGGAGAGGGAACUGGAAUUUACGGUGUAGCGGUGAAAUGCGUAGAUAUCGUAAGGAAGACCAGUGGCGAAGGUGGGUCUCUGGACAGUUCCUGACGCUGAGGCACGAAGGUCAGGGGAGCAAACGGG
RNAcentral lists this ribosomal RNA (253 nucleotides) under uncultured bacterium. RNAcentral describes it as "partial 16S ribosomal RNA". It matches the Rfam family "Bacterial small subunit ribosomal RNA", at positions 524 to 776 of the family's 1533-position model. The record is from RNAcentral.